CCUACGGGAGGCAGCAGUGGGGAAUAUUGCACAAUGGGCUAAAGCCUGAUGCAGCAACGCCGCGUGAGCGAUGAAGGCCUUCGGGUCUUAAAGCUCUGUCCUCAAGGAAGAUAAUGACGGUACUUGAGGCGGAAGCGCCGGCUAACGACGUCCCAGCAUCCGCGGUAAUACGUAGGGGACUAGCGUUAUCCGGAUUUACUGGGCGUAAGGGGUGCGUAGGUGGUUUCUUAAGUCAGCGGUGAAAGGGUACGGCUCAACCGUAGUAAGCCGUUGAAACUGGGAAACUUGAGGGCUGGAGAGGAGAGUGGAAUUCCUAGUGGAGCGGUGAAAUGCGUAGAUAUUAGGAGGAACACCAGUUGCGAAGGCGGCUCUCUGGACUGUAACUGACACUGAGGCACGAAAGCGUGGGGAGCAAACAGGAUUAGAUACCCGGGUAGUC
RNAcentral lists this ribosomal RNA (439 nucleotides) under uncultured bacterium. RNAcentral describes it as "partial 16S ribosomal RNA". It matches the Rfam family "Bacterial small subunit ribosomal RNA", at positions 338 to 795 of the family's 1533-position model. The record is from RNAcentral.